RNAcentral lists this ribosomal RNA (836 nucleotides) under uncultured Lactobacillus sp. RNAcentral describes it as "bacterial SSU rRNA". It matches the Rfam family "Bacterial small subunit ribosomal RNA", at positions 676 to 1513 of the family's 1533-position model. Lineage: Bacteria; Bacillati; Bacillota; Bacilli; Lactobacillales; Lactobacillaceae. The record is from RNAcentral.
UAGCGGUGGAAUGCGUAGAUAUAUGGAAGAACACCAGUGGCGAAGGCGGCUGUCUAGUCUGUAACUGACGCUGAGGCUCGAAAGCAUGGGUAGCGAACAGGAUUAGAUACCCUGGUAGUCCAUGCCGUAAACGAUGAGUGCUAAGUGUUGGAGGGUUUCCCCCUUCAGUGCUGCAGCUAACGCAUUAAGCACUCCGCCUGGGGAGUACGACCGCAAGGUUGAAACUCAAAGGAAUUGACGGGGGCCCGCACAAGCGGUGGAGCAUGUGGUUUAAUUCGAAGCUACGCGAAGAACCUUACCAGGUCUUGACAUCUUCUGCCAAUCUUAGAGAUAAGACGUUCCCUUCGGGGACAGAAUGACAGGUGGUGCAUGGUUGUCGUCAGCUCGUGUCGUGAGAUGUUGGGUUAAGUCCCGCAACGAGCGCAACCCUUAUUAUCAGUUGCCAGCAUUCAGUUGGGCACUCUGGUGAGACUGCCGGUGACAAACCGGAGGAAGGUGGGGAUGACGUCAAAUCAUCAUGCCCCUUAUGACCUGGGCUACACACGUGCUACAAUGGACGGUACAACGAGUCGCGAAGUCGUGAGGCUAAGCUAAUCUCUUAAAGCCGUUCUCAGUUCGGAUUGUAGGCUGCAACUCGCCUACAUGAAGUUGGAAUCGCUAGUAAUCGCGGAUCAGCAUGCCGCGGUGAAUACGUUCCCGGGCCUUGUACACACCGCCCGUCACACCAUGAGAGUUUGUAACACCCAAAGCCGGUGAGAUAACCUUCGGGAGUCAGCCGUCUAAGGUGGGACAGAUGAUUAGGGUGAAGUCGUAACAAGGUAACCAAGGGCGAAUCG